GCACUGGGGACGUGUUGGGGACAGGUGGCCGCGUCUGGGUUCGUGGUGGUCGGCGUGGUCAAGUGGCUCUUCCACGGCUCCCUCGCCGUGUUU
This 93-nucleotide small RNA is filed under the name Microcebus murinus (gray mouse lemur). RNAcentral describes it as "NoRC associated RNA, pRNA". It matches the Rfam family "NoRC associated RNA, pRNA". Lineage: Eukaryota; Metazoa; Chordata; Mammalia; Primates; Cheirogaleidae. The record is from Rfam by way of RNAcentral.